GACAGGGUCAUCCUGAGGGUGCGACGCCGCCGCGAUGGUGACCCGGUUCCUGGGCCCACGCUACCGGGAGCUGGUCAAGAACUGAAUGCCAUCAAGACACACGUGCAAAUAUUCCUGCCCUGUUGGUGGCAUCUGCCUCCGAGCCAGGUUCCAGGAGCAGCUGUGCGUGCCCCCAGCUGGUGAGCGGGCACCUGGCCUGCACUUGGAGAGUCUCUGGGUCCCGACGGCCUACACAUGGGGCGCUGUGGGCGCCGUGGGGCUGGUGUGGGCCACCGAUUGGCGGCUGAUCCUGGACUGGGUACCUUACAUCAAUGGCAAGUUUAAGAAGGAUAAUUAAUUACACAAACCCUUCACAGACUGCUCUGGUGCCUGGUGGCGCCAGCUCCUCCCACCUCAGCACCUGCUGCAUCUGGAGCAGCCCAAGCCUCAGGAUGGACGAGAGGAAACCCACAGCUCAGCUUCAGGCUUCUUAUGUUUCUGAAAACAGCUUGGAUAUUUUAAUGCACGUUGCAUUAAACCUCACUGAAACCUG
RNAcentral lists this small RNA (532 nucleotides) under Pan troglodytes (chimpanzee). RNAcentral's name for it is "processed transcript". Lineage: Eukaryota; Metazoa; Chordata; Mammalia; Primates; Hominidae. The record is from RNAcentral.